UAGGUUUACUUAUCUAGGAUUGCACUCUCAAGUCUCAUCCUAAUCUAGGCAUUUUUGAGGCUUAAAGGAAGGAGGUCAAGAAACUCCUUCCAUCUCCAUAAUUCAUUAAGGUUUAAAUAUGAGGCCACUUUUCUAUCCAGGUGAAGAAGAGGCACAAAGUUCUUCAAGUUAAAUGGGAGGAGCGAUCGUUAAUCCAAUUAUCUUACCAUAAGUUAAUCAACUCUAUGUUACCAACGUCCCAUCUCAUCCUUAGUUUCGAUGAAGUUAUAUUGGCUAUAUUUUCUAAGUCAAGGAAUUAUGGGAUAGGCUUCAUAAUGUUCAAAGCAGCUUUAUCAGGGAAGUAUUUAGCUUUAGGAACUUGCAUCAUAAACUAUCCUACUCAUGGAGGAGUCUCCAACACACCAUUUGGAUAUCACAUUUUUAUAAAUGCAUAACCCUUCUUGCUUUUUAACAUUGCAAAUCCAACUCUUUUUUACUAAUGAGACUCUAGGUUUCCCACCUUUGGACCCCCAUAUGAAGUUCCUUAUGAGAGCAAAGUGAUUUACAUGGUAUAUGAUGGAAUUAUGGAAAUGAUAAACAUGGUUAAAGUGGUUCUCCCAACCAUUGAAAGAUGGAAGAUAUGUUAAUUAACAAGACACUUUUGAAUACGAUCCACAAUCCCUUAGUAAGUACAACGAGUGGUUCUUGAGUGAAUGAGUGGAACUCUUAGAUAUUAUCCCAAAUCUGUAGUACUGGAUAUUGUGUUCAUUUUACUGAGCUCUCUAGCAACUUCCUUAGAAAAAAUUUUCAAUAUGGGAU
RNAcentral lists this long non-coding RNA (798 nucleotides) under Carica papaya (papaya). RNAcentral's name for it is "long non-coding RNA (CPAP_LNC002768)". The record is from RNAcentral. Lineage: Eukaryota; Viridiplantae; Streptophyta; Magnoliopsida; Brassicales; Caricaceae.